GCAGUGGCGGUUCAGUGGUAGAAUUUUUGCCUUUGGUGCAGGAGUCCCGGGUUCAAUUCCUGGCCAAUGCU
Molecule: transfer RNA, 71 nt
Organism: Loxodonta africana (African savanna elephant)
Lineage: Eukaryota; Metazoa; Chordata; Mammalia; Proboscidea; Elephantidae
Rfam family: tRNA
About the family: Transfer RNA (tRNA) molecules are approximately 80 nucleotides in length. Their secondary structure includes four short double-helical elements and three loops (D, anti-codon, and T loops). Further hydrogen bonds mediate the characteristic L-shaped molecular structure. tRNAs have two regions of fundamental functional importance: the anti-codon, which is responsible for specific mRNA codon recognition, and the 3' end, to which the tRNAs corresponding amino acid is attached (by aminoacyl-tRNA synthetases). tRNAs cope with the degeneracy of the genetic code in two manners: having more than one tRNA (with a specific anti-codon) for a particular amino acid; and 'wobble' base-pairing, i.e. permitting non-standard base-pairing at the 3rd anti-codon position.
Source: Rfam